Molecule: long non-coding RNA, 816 nt
Filed under: Heterocephalus glaber (naked mole-rat)
Lineage: Eukaryota; Metazoa; Chordata; Mammalia; Rodentia; Bathyergidae
Description: lncRNA (ENSHGLG00000036505.1)
Source: RNAcentral
CCUUCAGCCAGUUUUCUGGGACUCACUCCAUCCUCCUCCUGCACUCCCCCUCUCCCCAUCGUCAGCGCUGUCUCACCUCUUACCUGUCCUUUGGGCUACAGCGGGGAGGGGAGGCUCUCAGCACACCCUGCUGGGGGUGGGAAGAUGCCAGUUACUGGGACCCGGGGUAAGGCUCCUGCUGCAGCAGCUGUUGACUCUGAAGAGCGAAAGGCAGAGGGUGAUGGGGACCGAAAUGGAAAACAGGAAAACACAUGUGCGACUCUGACCGGCGUCAGGGAGGGGCCAGGGGAUGGGCUGGAGCUGGGAUUGCCCAGUCAGACCCAGGGGGCCUGGAUGCUUGCAGCCGCCAGAUUAGCCUAGUCCCACAGAGGGCAUAUGAUUCUUCAGUUGGGUAGCAAAACUUCAUCCAUCCCAAGAGUUUCCAGCAAGCCAAGGAAGAUUAUGUACACCAGGGAGAACCACUUGGUAUAGCCAAACACAUGCCCAGACAUCAAAGCAGCCCAGACUGCAGAUUGGUGCAAGUGGUGUGAACAGUGCCGGGCUCACAGAGAGAAGUCAACAAAUGUCUGCUGGAAGAAUAAGAGAAUGAAUGAACAAUGUUGUUCCUCUUGGAUUUCCCAGCUGGCUGGACUCCUGGGCAGGUCUUUGAAUUCGCCCUGCAGACCCCGUUGUGUUGCUUCCCUUGGCUCUUCAGAACAAAAGAGUAUACAAAAGUGCUUAUCCUUUUUGAUAGAAAUGGGUUGGAACAGUAUGGUUUUCACUUUGACUGGGAGGCCUAGAAUGGUUUGCAAUCGAUUGUUUGUUUCACUAAUGGAG